This 566-nucleotide ribosomal RNA is filed under the name Botryosphaeria dothidea. Its description in RNAcentral is "eukaryotic LSU rRNA". The stretch from base 191 to 344 matches the Rfam family "5.8S ribosomal RNA". The record is from RNAcentral. Lineage: Eukaryota; Fungi; Ascomycota; Dothideomycetes; Botryosphaeriales; Botryosphaeriaceae.
GGCUAACUAGCAGGCAGGUAGCGAUCCGGCCCGCAUCCUCCACACCCUUUGUGUACCUACCUCUGUUGCUUUGGCGGGCCGCGGUCCUCCGCGGCCGCCCCCCUCCCCGGGGGGGUGGCCAGCGCCCGCCAGAGGACCAUCAAACUCCAGUCAGUAAACGAUGCAGUCUGAAAAACAUUUAAUAAACUAAAACUUUCAACAACGGAUCUCUUGGUUCUGGCAUCGAUGAAGAACGCAGCGAAAUGCGAUAAGUAAUGUGAAUUGCAGAAUUCAGUGAAUCAUCGAAUCUUUGAACGCACAUUGCGCCCUUUGGUAUUCCGAAGGGCAUGCCUGUUCGAGCGUCAUUACAACCCUCAAGCUCUGCUUGGUAUUGGGCACCGUCCUUUGCGGGCGCGCCUCAAAGACCUCGGCGGUGGCGUCUUGCCUCAAGCGUAGUAGAACAUACAUCUCGCUUCGGAGCGCAGGGCGUCGCCCGCCGGACGAACCUUCUGAACUUUUCUCAAGGUUGACCUCGGAUCAGGUAGGGAUACCCGCUGAACUUAAGCAUAUCAAUAAGUCGGAGGAAU